Molecule: unclassified non-coding RNA, 1256 nt
Filed under: Hevea brasiliensis (rubber tree)
Lineage: Eukaryota; Viridiplantae; Streptophyta; Magnoliopsida; Malpighiales; Euphorbiaceae
Source: RNAcentral
GAGAUACCCCAGGGUCUCCCAAGCUUCUCCAUUCCUAAAGGAUUUGGGUAUGCAAAGUCUUUAAUCCCCACAGCAAUGCUUAUUACUGGUGUAGCCAUAUUGGAAUCUGUGGGGAUUGCAAAAGCUUUAGCGGCAAAGAAUGGUUAUGAACUGGAUUCAAAUCAGGAGUUGUUUGGCCUUGGUAUAGCAAAUAUCAUGGGCUCUUUUUUUUCAGCAUACCCUGCAACAGGUUCCUUUUCUAGGUCAGCCGUAAGUAAUGAAAGUGGGACAAAAACUGGCUUAUCUGGAAUUAUUACUGGCAUCAUCAUGGGCUGUGCUCUUCUAUUCUUGACUCCAUUAUUUGAAUACAUUCCCCUGUGUUCUCUGGCUGCAAUAGUAAUCUCUGCUGUGAUGGGCCUGGUGGAUUAUGAAGAGGCCAUCUUCUUAUGGCGUGUAGAUAAGAAAGAUUUUCUUCUAUGGACCAUUACUAGUGCUACAACAUUGUUCCUUGGCAUUGAGAUUGGUGUCCUUGUUGGGGUUGGUGUGUCAAUUGCUUUUGUUAUCCAUGAAUCAGCGAAUCCACACAUUGCUGUAUUGGGCCGUCUUCCUGGUACCACUGUUUACAGAAACAUCCAACAGUAUCCAGAAGCAUAUACUUACAAUGGAAUUGUGAUGGUUCGCAUUGAUGCACCAAUCUAUUUUGCCAAUAUAAGUUACAUAAAAGACAGACUAAGGGAAUAUGAACUCGAUGUUGACAAAUCUACCAGACAUGGACCAGAAGUUGAAAGAAUUUAUUUUGUGAUUUUGGAGAUGUCACCUGUUACAUAUAUAGACUCCAGUGCUGUACAAGCUUUGAAAGACUUGCAUCAGGAGUAUAAAUCACGGGAUAUCCAGAUUGCUAUUUCCAAUCCCAACAGAGAAGUUUUGUUGACCUUAUCAAAAGCUGGUCUUGUAGAGCUCAUCGGCAAGGAAUGGUACUUUGUGAGAAUGCAUGAUGCUGUUCAAGUUUGCCUUCAGCAUGUUCAAAGCAUAAGCCAAGAACCCAGGCACCCGGAUUUAUUACCUGUCGAUAAGCCAGGUUUCUUCCAACGGUUAUUGAAACAAAGAGAGGAGGAUUUAUCAGUUGCGAAGUUGGAGUCAGGCAAUAAUUCUGACUCUCAACUGGAGCCAUUGUUGUCUCGGAAGUCAUGAAAUUGACUUAUUUUUUCAACAAAUAAACUACUGCCCAUUUUUAUCAAGGCAACCGCUUAUACAUAUUUGCAAGGUUUGAUUAUUUU